RNAcentral lists this precursor RNA (567 nucleotides) under Nicotiana corymbosa. RNAcentral's name for it is "partial transfer RNA-Leu(UAA)". The stretch from base 1 to 452 matches the Rfam family "Group I catalytic intron", at positions 27 to 253 of the family's 253-position model. From Rfam's summary of the family: Group I catalytic introns are large self-splicing ribozymes. They catalyse their own excision from mRNA, tRNA and rRNA precursors in a wide range of organisms. Lineage: Eukaryota; Viridiplantae; Streptophyta; Magnoliopsida; Solanales; Solanaceae. RNAcentral also lists the same sequence under 1 other name. The record is from RNAcentral.
UGGAAACUUACUAAGUGAUCACUUUCAAAUUCAGAGAAACCCUGGAAUUAACAAAAAUGGGCAAUCCUGAGCCAAAUCCUGUUUUCCGAAAACAAACAAAGAUUCAGAAAAAAAGGAUAGGUGCAGAGACUCAAUGGAAGCUAUUCUAACAAAUGGAGUUAAAUGCGUUGGUAGAGGAAUCUUUACAUCGAAACUUCAGAAAGAAAAAGAAUGAAGUGAAGGAUAAACGUAUAUACAUACGUAUUGAAUACUAUAUCAAAUGAUUAAUGAUGACCUGAAUCCGUAUUUUUUCUAUAAAAAAUAGAAGAAUUGGUGUGAAUCGAUUCUACAUUGAAGAAAGAAUCGAAUAUUCAUUGAUCAAAUCAUUCACUCCAUAGUCUGAUAGAUCUUUUGAAGAACUGAUUAAUCGGACGAGAAUAAAGAUAGAGUCCCGUUCUACAUGUCAAUACCGGCAACAAUGAAAUUUAUAGUAAGAGGAAAAUCCGUCGACUUUAAAAAUCGUGAGGGUUCAAGUCCCUCUAUCCCCAAAAAGACUAUUUCACUCCCCAACUAUUUAUCCGACCCCCU